GAUAUUGAUAUUUCUUUGGAAAAUGAGCAAAAUAUAGAUGAUCCUUUCCAUAAAUUCAAGAAAUACUUUAACCUUGAAGAAAAAAUUAAUACUGGGUAUCGGUUUCGGUUGCAAGAUGUGCCGCAAAAUUAUCUCUUCAAAUCAUACGAGCAACUUUAAUUUGAAAAAACAUUUAAAGACUGUGCACACUUCAUAUAAAGAGAUUGAAAAAUAUCUCAAAAGUUUUGGGGUAAUGGAAGAAGAUAAACCCACUUCCAAAUCAAAUUUAAUACAAACAAAAUUAACCAAUUUGGAUUCAUCAACACCUGGUGUAUCCCAAAAAUUGGCUGACAGUCAUUAUGAACUUUAUAAUAGAUACAGUUCAACCAUUAUCCUUGGUGGAAAAUGAUUCUUUUAUAAAGAUGAUAAACACUUUUUCUCCACGGACCAAGAUAUUUUGCCGGCAGACAUUGAUGGCAAGAAAUUUGGAGAGCUUUAAGGAAAUGAAAGAAUCUUUGAUAUUAAAUCUAUCAGAUGUCUCCUACGUCUGUACAACGGCAGAUUGCUGGACUCACAAUAGAAGAGCUUAUUUAGGAGUAACUGCACAUUAGAUUGAUCCUAAAAAUCUUAAACGAAAAUCUGUAGCGUUAGCUCUAAAGAGAAUAAUUGGCUGUCAGACUUAUGACAUUCUAGCCAAUAUUAUUGCAGAAAUCCAUAGGUCUUACAAAAUUCAAAACAAGGUUUGUAAGAUGAUUACGGAUAAUGGGUCUAAUUUCCUGAAGGCCUUCAGAAUAUUUGGGGAAGAUAAUAAUAAUAACAAUACUAGUAAUAUUCCUGACAAAAAUAUUGAAGAUGGAAAACAAGAAGAGGAAGAUGAAAUGGAGUUUGAGAUAAUUGAUGUUCAUGACAUCCUUGGUUUUAAAUUAUUUUAUUUUUAAUAUUUCACCACUAUAAAAUAAAAAUUAUAAUAUUUAGGAUCUUCAAUAAAGUCUUCUAUGUUAUCUAGCCAUCAUCGAUGUUCCUGCCACAACCUAAAUUUAGUUGCAACAGUGGAUGCUGAAGAAGCAUUAUUAAAUGAGGAUUUUAAAAGAGUAUCAAGAUCUACAUUUUCUAAAUGCCAAGCUCUUUAGAAUAAACAAAAUAAGCCAUCAAAGACGUCUGAUAUUUUCA
This is a long non-coding RNA of Gordionus sp. m RMFG-2023, 1149 nucleotides long. RefSeq lists it as uncharacterized. The record is from RefSeq and is a predicted model, not a curated record. The transcript is spliced from 4 exons. Lineage: Eukaryota; Metazoa; Nematomorpha; Gordioida; Chordodea; Parachordodidae.